AGCCACAAAAAGUCAACCUUGAGCCAAGCAGAGUGGAGAGUCAUACUGGCCAUUCCUGGGACCAUCAAAAAUGGCAGAGGUCACACAAAAGGCAAAACCUUUAAGAGGUGUUUUAAACAUCGUAUGGGCCAAAGAGAAUCUGGAUUUCCUAUUGCAGUCAGCUGUAACACACGUGUGACAAAUUGGGCUGUGAGGACAAGGCAGUGAGUAGAGACGACAGCAGUCCUUAUGAGAUCAAGCUCUAAGGCCUGGAGUGCAGUGGAGCAAUCUCAGCUCACUGCAGCCUCUUCCUCCCGGAUUCAAGUGAUUCUCCUGCUUCAGACUCCCGAGUAGCUGGGAUUACAGUUUUGAGAAGAAUGCAAAGAAGAAGGGAAGAGUGAGCCUCUCUUUUCCCAUCGUUACCCUCCAUUGUCCUCUUGACACCCUGCUUUUGCAGACAGAGAGUUUGAGACCCUCUCCCAGGAGCCAAGGAGAGGGGAACAGCUGGCUUCACAUCAUCUUUCUAUUCAACAAGACACAAAAAGCUGAAGCCAGGAUGAUAGAAAAGCAACAAAGAAGACACGGUCCUUACUCAUUUCCCUUCCCGCUUCAGAGCAAAUAUGGUGCCUGGUGUUCGAAGGGAGAACUUGUGGGCAG
RNAcentral lists this long non-coding RNA (636 nucleotides) under Pongo abelii (Sumatran orangutan). Its description in RNAcentral is "lincRNA". The record is from RNAcentral. Lineage: Eukaryota; Metazoa; Chordata; Mammalia; Primates; Hominidae.